This 254-nucleotide ribosomal RNA is filed under the name uncultured bacterium. Its description in RNAcentral is "partial 16S ribosomal RNA". It matches the Rfam family "Bacterial small subunit ribosomal RNA", at positions 99 to 353 of the family's 1533-position model. The record is from RNAcentral.
CGGACGGGUGAGUAAUGUCUGGGAAACUGCCUGAUGGAGGGGGGAUAACUACUGGAAACGGUAGCUAAUACCGCAUAACGUCGCAAGACCAAAGAGGGGGACCUUCAGGCCUCUUGCCAUCGGAUGUGCCCAGAUGGGAUUAGCUAGUAGGUGGGGUAAAGGCUCACCUAGGCGACGAUCCCUAGCUGGUCUGAGAGGAUGACCAGCCACACUGGAACUGAGACACGGUCCAGACUCCUACGGGAGGCAGCAUG